GCCACAGCCUAUGUUCUGGAAUAAAACCUAAUUUUCCAUCCAAGCAAACAUUGUAAUAGCAGAAAAACCCUCCAGAAUCCUAAGUCAUAGACAUAUAGCUUCUUUCUCUCUGAAUGAAAUGAGACUUAUAGGUCAGAUUGUAAUGUCCUGGCUAAACCUUUGAGAUAAAUUUCAUUAUGUGAAACUUAUGAAUUUAUCUCACACUUUAAAUACUAUUUCAAGAUGUUCCAUAUUGGAACAAGAGUUAUUGCUAUUGAUU
This 259-nucleotide unclassified non-coding RNA is filed under the name Hevea brasiliensis (rubber tree). The record is from RNAcentral. Lineage: Eukaryota; Viridiplantae; Streptophyta; Magnoliopsida; Malpighiales; Euphorbiaceae.